This 440-nucleotide ribosomal RNA is filed under the name uncultured bacterium. RNAcentral's name for it is "partial 16S ribosomal RNA". It matches the Rfam family "Bacterial small subunit ribosomal RNA", at positions 338 to 795 of the family's 1533-position model. The record is from RNAcentral.
CCUACGGGUGGCUGCAGUAGGGAAUAUUGCACAAUGGGGGAAACCCUGAUGCAGCGACGCCGCGUGAGUGAAGAAGUAUUUCGGUGUGUAAAGCUCUGUCAGCAGGGGAGAAAAUGACGGUACCUGACCAAGAAGCCCCGGGUAACUACGUGCCAGCAACCGCGGAAAUACGGAGGGGGCCAGCGUUAUCCGGGUUUACUGGGGGGAAAGGGGGCGUAGACGGCAGGGCAGGUCUGGAGUGAAAGGCGGGGGGUCAACCCCCGGACUGCUCUGGAAACUGCCAGGCUGGAGUGCAGGAGAGGUAAGUGGAAUGCCUAGUGUAGCGGUGAAAUGCGUAGAUAUUAGGAGGAACACCAGUGGCGAAGGCGGCUUACUGGACUGUAACUGACGUUGAGGCUCGAAAGCGUGGGGAGCAAACAGGAUUAGAUACCCCUGUAGUC